RNAcentral lists this ribosomal RNA (253 nucleotides) under uncultured bacterium. RNAcentral's name for it is "partial 16S ribosomal RNA". It matches the Rfam family "Bacterial small subunit ribosomal RNA", at positions 524 to 776 of the family's 1533-position model. The record is from RNAcentral.
UACGGAGGGUGCGAGCGUUAAUCGGAAUUACUGGGCGUAAAGCGUACGCAGGCGGUUUGUUAAGCGAGAUGUGAAAGCCCCGGGCUCAACCUGGGAUGGUCAUUUAGAACUGGCAGGCUAGAGUCUUGUAGAGGGGGGUAGAAUUCCAGGUGUAGCGGUGAAAUUCGUAGAUAUUUGGAGGAACACCAGUGGCGAAGGCGACUUGCUGGGCUGAUACUGACGCUGAGGUGCGAAAGCGUGGGGAGCAAACAGG